Molecule: long non-coding RNA, 1831 nt
Organism: Acanthochromis polyacanthus (spiny chromis)
Lineage: Eukaryota; Metazoa; Chordata; Actinopteri; Pomacentridae
Exons: 2
Source: RefSeq, a predicted model, not a curated record
CUUACCGCUACGGGCAAGAAAGACAAAAAACAAAGAGAUCCUGUUAACAGUGAGCCUCUCCUUCACAGCUAAACUGCCUGUGAUUUUUUGUGUCAUUUUUCAAAGAAAGAAAAAAGGGGGAGAGAGAAGAAAAAAAAACAUGCAAGACGCUUUGAGGGAAUUUGUUUUCCCUCCUGGAACUGAAUGCAUUUCACACAUAAUGGGAUCAGGCUCACUAUCCCAGCCAGACAUCAAAUAGGAGCACAUGGAUGUCACAGCUACUUUCAAGGAACAAUGGAUGGCGAUGUGGAAUGAGACAGGGCCGGUACAGUAGACACAAUGCAUGAGGGAAUGAAAGGCCGAGGCACAACCUACAACACAAACUACAACACACAAGAGGAUUACACGGCAUCUGGACCGGCGGAGGCACAACGGAAGCAGACUUUAAAGCCAUACAUCACUUAAGUCCAGUGUUCUCUGCUGUUCCUGCUUCCACUUUUUUCUUUUUUUGUAAAUGCAGUGCUGUAAUUUAUCUCCUCCCGCCCCUGAAACCGUCUCAGAUGUGAUGUUUGAAGACUCUGGUUGCUUUAAAUAUCGGCCUGAUCUCGUCUCUAGAGGCUGGAUUGCUUAAGACAUCCCAGAGUAGUACGAUUUUCCUGUUUGUGGAGCUGUAGUCAAGCAGAAAAGGGCGCCAGAAUGAAUCCUGAGGAAGACUCCGCCACUCAGAAAUCCAAUAAACCCGCAAGAAGCCUGACAAGACAUUUGAGCGUUGGGAUGCUGAAGAAGGAUCACCACAUAGAUCAGCGGGAGAGCCGAGCUUCAGUCCUGUCAGAGUUAUGAAGAAAAAUCCCUCCAAUGACAAGUUUGGUUUUAUCAAGGUGAUGCUGAGCUGACAAGAGCUCUCAACUCCCCACACUUCAUCACUGACAUCUUCCUCCGGCCGUCCGAGCGAGCGCAGCACGCCAUGAAGGAGGGGAGGAAGAGGAGUGACUGUCAGUAAGCCUCGGUAAUUCAUCUUCUGCCGUGGCUUUCUCAUCAUCCUCGCUGGCUGUCAGGAAUCAGGAACAUUUCCAAACUCAGAGGGCCGAAGAACUCCGAAAUGAUAACCCUCCACGCCAGCGCUGAAAUAACAGCCGGAUUAAGACGGACGGCGUCUGGGAGAGAUCCUGAGAUUUUCCCGCCGUCGAUAUCUAUUAUCCUUCAUCGAAAUGAAAAAGGGAAGAGGAGAGAAAAAGCAGCACUGCCAGGACGUCGCUCUGUGACAGCAGCUUCGUUUACUUCAACAAGUUCAUUCACCUGAACACAACUGAAACAACGUUUUCCUCUACAGACGCUCUUCUACACGUGGAGCAGGAAAAUCUUUAUAUCCAACCUAUACCUGAAGGAAUAUAUCUGCAUACGUCUUUAUUAAAAGUAAUAAAAAACUGAAUGUUUUUUAUGUCCAUUAUGAUCAUGUCUUUACAAAUUCUAUAAUUAUUUAUUAUGGAACAAAUCAUUUAUUAAUAAAACUGACUGGAUAUCACUAAAAUAUCAACUAAAUAACGUCUGAAUUUAACACCAACCACCUUCUAAUGAGAUAAACAAUAAAAUGAGCUGAUUCAGAAAUAGUUUGGAUUGUGUUCUUCUGAUUAAGCUGAGAUGACUCAGAACACGUCCACAAUGACUCAAAUUCUCAAAAUGUUUUGAAAAUGAUCCAUAAUUAUGUAAAAAGAAUCCAGAAUGACAUGACAUUUGUUCUAAAUGACCCCACAUUAAAAAAAAAAAUCAUUUUUACCUUGUCUCGUUUUGUUAUUUCAGCUGUGUGAAGCAAACUAAAAUAAAAGCAAAAUAAAAAUGUUGUCACUCAGGGUAA